CUCCAGCUCAGGGAUGCCUGGGUGGCUCAGUCAUUAAGCUUCUGCCUUCAGCUCACGUCACGGUUCCAGGGUUCUAGGUUGGAGCCCUGCC
Molecule: long non-coding RNA, 91 nt
Organism: Mustela erminea (ermine)
Lineage: Eukaryota; Metazoa; Chordata; Mammalia; Carnivora; Mustelidae
Exons: 3
Source: RefSeq, a predicted model, not a curated record